Molecule: non-coding RNA, 23 nt
Filed under: Cricetulus griseus (Chinese hamster)
Lineage: Eukaryota; Metazoa; Chordata; Mammalia; Rodentia; Cricetidae
Source: RNAcentral
UGGGGGAUGUAGCUCAGUGGUAG